This 449-nucleotide ribosomal RNA is filed under the name uncultured bacterium. RNAcentral describes it as "bacterial SSU rRNA". It matches the Rfam family "Bacterial small subunit ribosomal RNA", at positions 335 to 800 of the family's 1533-position model. The record is from RNAcentral.
ACUCCUACGGGAGGCAGCAGUGGGGAAUCUUGCGCAAUGGGCGAAAGCCUGACGCAGCCAUGCCGCGUGGAUGAUGAAGGGUCUUAGGAUUGUAAAAUCCUUUCACCGGGGACGAUAAUGACGGUACCCGGAGAAGAAGCCCCGGCUAACUUCGUGCCAGCAGCCGCGGUAAUACGAAGGGGGCUAGCGUUGCUCGGAAUUACUGGGCGUAAAGGGCGCGUAGGCGGACAGUUAAGUUGGGGGUGAAAGCCCGGGGCUCAACCUCGGAAUUGCCUUCAAUACUGGCUGUCUUGAGUACGGGAGAGGUGAGUGGAACUCCGAGUGUAGAGGUGAAAUUCGUAGAUAUUCGGAAGAACACCAGUGGCGAAGGCGACUCACUGGCCCGUUACUGACGCUGAGGCGCGAAAGCGUGGGGAGCAAACAGGAUUAGAUACCCUGGUAGGCUCUGC